This 243-nucleotide ribosomal RNA is filed under the name uncultured bacterium. RNAcentral's name for it is "partial 16S ribosomal RNA". It matches the Rfam family "Bacterial small subunit ribosomal RNA", at positions 793 to 1035 of the family's 1533-position model. The record is from RNAcentral.
GUCCACACCGUAAACGCUGUCUACUAGCUGUUUGUGUAUUUAAUACGUGAGUAGCGAAGCUAACGCGCUAAGUAGACCGCCUGGGGAGUACGGCCGCAAGGUUAAAACUCAAAUGAAUUGACGGGGGCCCGCACAAGCGGUGGAGCAUGUGGUUUAAUUCGAUGCAACGCGAAGAACCUUACCUACUCUUGACAUCCAGGAAAUUUUUCAGAGAUGAAUUAGUGCCUUCGGGAAUCCUGAGAC